RNAcentral lists this ribosomal RNA (297 nucleotides) under Ctenophora environmental sample. Its description in RNAcentral is "partial Bacterial small subunit ribosomal RNA". It matches the Rfam family "Bacterial small subunit ribosomal RNA", at positions 340 to 649 of the family's 1533-position model. The record is from RNAcentral. Lineage: Eukaryota; Metazoa; Ctenophora.
UACGGGAGGCAGCAGUGGGGAAUAUUGCACAAUGGGCGGAAGCCUGAUGCAGCAACGCCGCGUGCGGGAUGACGGCCUUCGGGUUGUAAACCGCUUUCGCCUGUGACGAAGCGUGAGUGACGGUAAUGGGUAAAGAAGCACCGGCUAACUACGUGCCAGCAGCCGCGGUAAUACGUAGGGUGCGAGCGUUGUCCGGAAUUACUGGGCGUAAAGAGCUCGUAGGCGGCUGGUCGCGUCUGUCGUGAAAUCCUCUGGCUUAACUGGGGGCUUGCGGUGGGUACGGGCCGGCUUGAGUGC